GGAUUGUGGCUCAGCGAUAGAAUGCUCGCCUAGCACAUGCGAGGCCCUGGGUUCGAUCCUCAGCACCA
This 68-nucleotide transfer RNA is filed under the name Marmota monax (woodchuck). RNAcentral's name for it is "tRNA.Ala". The record is from RNAcentral. Lineage: Eukaryota; Metazoa; Chordata; Mammalia; Rodentia; Sciuridae.